GACGAACGCUGGCGGCGUGCUUAACACAUGCAAGUCGAACGAAGAGCGACGGAAGCUUGCUUCUAUCAAUCUUAGUGGCGAACGGGUGAGUAACGCGUAAUCAACCUGCCCUUCAGAGGGGGACAACAGUUGGAAACGACUGCUAAUACCGCAUACGAUCUAAUCUCGGCAUCGAGGUUGGAUGAAAGGUGGCCUCUACAUGUAAGCUAUCACUGAAGGAGGGGAUUGCGUCUGAUUAGCUAGUUGGAGGGGUAACGGCCCACCAAGGCGAUGAUCAGUAGCCGGUCUGAGAGGAUGAACGGCCACAUUGGGACUGAGACACGGCCCAGACUCCUACGGGAGGCAGCAGUGGGGAAUCUUCCGCAAUGGACGAAAGUCUGACGGAGCAACGCCGCGUGAGUGAUGACGGCCUUCGGGUUGUAAAGCCCUGUUAAUCGGGACGAAAGGCCUUCUUGCGAAUAGUGAGAAGGAUUGACGGUACCGGAAUAGAAAGCCACGGCUAACUACGUG
This 510-nucleotide ribosomal RNA is filed under the name uncultured bacterium. Its description in RNAcentral is "partial 16S ribosomal RNA". It matches the Rfam family "Bacterial small subunit ribosomal RNA", at positions 28 to 507 of the family's 1533-position model. The record is from RNAcentral.